RNAcentral lists this ribosomal RNA (200 nucleotides) under uncultured bacterium. Its description in RNAcentral is "partial 16S ribosomal RNA". It matches the Rfam family "Bacterial small subunit ribosomal RNA", at positions 328 to 539 of the family's 1533-position model. The record is from RNAcentral.
ACGCUCGACACCUACGGGAGGCAGCAGUUGGGAAUAUUGGACAAUGGAGGAAACUCUGAUCCAGUGACGCCGCGUGAAGGAAGAAGGUCUUCGGAUUGUAAACUUAUUUUGUCAGGGAAGAAAAAUGACUGUACCUGAAGAAAAAGCACCGGCUAACUACGUGCCGGCAGCCGCGGUAAUCUGAGGCGGGCUGGCAAGGC